AUUGAACGCUGGCGGCAGGCCUAACACAUGCAAGUCGAGCGGAUGAAGGGAGCUUGCUCCUGGAUUCAGCGGCGGACGGGUGAGUAAUGCCUAGGAAUCUGCCUGGUAGUGGGGGAUAACGUCCGGAAACGGGCGCUAAUACCGCAUACGUCCUGAGGGAGAAAGUGGGGGAUCUUCGGACCUCACGCUAUCAGAUGAGCCUAGGUCGGAUUAGCUAGUUGGUGGGGUAAAGGCCUACCAAGGCGACGAUCCGUAACUGGUCUGAGAGGAUGAUCAGUCACACUGGAACUGAGACACGAUCCAGACUCCUACGGGAGGCAGCAGUGGGGAAUAUUGGACAAUGGGCGAAAGCCUGAUCCAGCCAUGCCGCGUGUGUGAAGAAGGUCUUCGGAUUGUAAAGCACUUUAAGUUGGGAGGAAGGGCAGUAAGUUAAUACCUUGCUGCUUUGACGUUACCAACAGAAUAAGCACCGGCUAACUUCGUG
RNAcentral lists this ribosomal RNA (484 nucleotides) under uncultured bacterium. Its description in RNAcentral is "partial 16S ribosomal RNA". It matches the Rfam family "Bacterial small subunit ribosomal RNA", at positions 30 to 507 of the family's 1533-position model. The record is from RNAcentral.